Molecule: non-coding RNA, 28 nt
Filed under: Homo sapiens (human)
Lineage: Eukaryota; Metazoa; Chordata; Mammalia; Primates; Hominidae
Source: RNAcentral
UCCAUGAGAUUGGGGCUAGCAUGAUGAU